AGAUACAACACUCUCACUUGCCUCGCAUUCCUUGCCUAUUGUUUCUGUCUUUAUAUGGAAAAGACAGUGAGCUUUGGGAAGAGAAGAUGGUGGCUUGGGAGAGCGGCGGGACGGCAAUGCUAUGUUGGAAGGAUUAGGGUCGUGGCCUCCAUCACCUGAACCUUUUGUGUGGCUCGUGAUGUUCAUCCUCCUGCGCUAUUUCAUCGCGGCAGUCGAUCCGAUGGCCGCAACAGCAGUGGUGGGGAGGUCACCAUGGUGGAGCCGUCAAAAGGCAAGCCACCGAUCACUCCAGACUCUAUUGUCAACCUCGAUCAGUACUUGGUCUCCGAUUGAUGUACAUACGUGCUCGAGAUGAAGAGGAGGAGGAUGGAAAACGGAAGCAAAGCAAAGCAAAGAACGAAUGAAUUGAUCUAGGAGCUAGCUAGCAUGCAUGACAAACACAUGCUGUUGCUGUUUCGUUUCUCCGAGGAGGUAGCAAGCAAGAAGCAUCCAAGGAGCCAAGGAGGACUGCUAGCUGCUGCAAACGGCAUGCAUGCAUGCACACGAACUGCACACGGUUUGCCGUAUCGGAUCAUCGGAUGUGUACGUGCCCAAACUAAAGCUUCGAGGCAACAAACUGCCAAUUUUUUCCUCCCUGUUCUGUACUAUGUAUAUAUAUCUGCUCGUGCGUGCGUGCGUUUAUUUCCCGCGCGUACUUAAUUUCCAAAAAAAAUUUCGCGAACA
Sorghum bicolor (sorghum) is the source of this 723-nucleotide long non-coding RNA. RefSeq lists it as uncharacterized. The record is from RefSeq and is a predicted model, not a curated record. Lineage: Eukaryota; Viridiplantae; Streptophyta; Magnoliopsida; Poales; Poaceae. The transcript has 2 exons.